This is a long non-coding RNA of Oncorhynchus tshawytscha (Chinook salmon), 2497 nucleotides long. RefSeq lists it as uncharacterized. The transcript is spliced from 2 exons. NCBI's taxonomy places the organism in Eukaryota, Metazoa, Chordata, Actinopteri, Salmoniformes, Salmonidae. The record is from RefSeq and is a predicted model, not a curated record.
CAUGUUCUGUGUGGAACCCCAGGAAGAGUAGCUGCUGCUUUUGCAACAGCCAAUGGGGAUCCUAAUAAAAUACCAAAUACAGUGCCAUAGGGCCCUGGUCAAAGUAGCGCACUAUAUAGGGUAUAAGGUUUCAUUAGGGAUGUAGUUACAGUGGUUGUUUUCAACACUCUUCUUGAAGAUUAUCUAAAGUGAGAUAUUGAGGUCUUAAAAUGGUGCCUGUUGAGAUGAAGAGGUAGCCAUGUUUAAUAUGGGAUGAUGUGUACCUUAUGAAGAGGUGAGGGGAGGUUUAAACAACAAAGCCCUCUAAGGGCCUGUGUCGGAGUCGGGUUGUAGUGUUGUGAGGGGGUGAUGUCUUGUAGUGUUGCAGAGUGUUAGUUGGAGUUUGUGUGGGGGGGUUCGGACAACCGCGUUUGGCUUUACACCUGCCUCUCAGUCAGGGAAAUUUCUAAAAUGGCGUGCCAGCUGUGAAUGUCCAAGAUGCAACCUUUUAGAAAUGUCAAUCCUUACAUGUCCAGUAGCCAGUAUGGCGAAGACUGCCACAUCGUUAUAGAUUUUCCUAUUUUAUUGUGUUAAACAAUCUGACCGACUGUUUCAACAGUUUUCUGGACAUGCAGAAUGUAGUACAACUCUAGUAGAAGGUAGUACAACUCUAGUAGAAGGUAGUACAACUCUAGUAGAAGGUAGUACAACUCUAGUAGAAGGUAGUACAACUCUAGUCGAAGGUAGUACAACUCUAGUAGAAGGUAGUACAACUCUAGUAGAAUGUAGUACAACUCUAGUAGAAGGUAGUACAACUCUAGACUAGUGGUUGAACUGUCACUGUACAGGUUAAUAACUGUAGAUCUGUAGAACAUGUACAAGAGUCACAAUGCAUCAAUUGUAUCGUCUCUCCGUAACCCAACACUUACCAGUCUGUAGGACACAGUGGUCAGAUCGUCUCUCCAUAACCCAGCACUUACCAGUCUGUUGGACACAGUGGUCAGAUCGUCUCUCCGUAACCCAACACUUACCAGUCUGUAGGACACAGUGGUCAGAUCAUCUCUCCGUAACCCAACACUUACCAGUCUGUUGGACACAGUGGUCAGAUCGUCUCUCCGUAACCCAACACUUACCAGUCUGUAGGACACAGUGGUCAGAUCGUCUCUCCAUAACCCAGCACUUACCAGUCUGUUGGACACAGUGGUCAGAUCGUCUCUCCGUAACCCAACACUUACCAGUCUGUAGGACACAGUGGUCAGAUCAUCUCUCCGUAACCCAACACUUACCAGUCUGUUGGACACAGUGGUCAGAUCGUCUCUCCGUAACCCAACACUUACCAGUCUGUAGGACACAGUGGUCAGAUCGUCUCUCCGUAACCAAACACUUACCAGUCUGUAGGACACAGCGGUCAGAUCGUCUCUCCGUAACCCAACACUUACCAGUCUGUAGGACACAGUGGUCAGAUCAUCUCUCCGUAACCCAACACUUACCAGUCUGUUGGACACAGUGGUCAGAUCGUCUCGCCGUAACCCAACACUUACCAGUCUGUUGGACACAGUGGUCAGAUUAUCUCUCCGUAACCCAACACUUACCAGUCUGUAGGACACAGUGGUCAGAUCAUCUCUCCGUAACCCAACACAUACCAGUCUGUAGGACACAGUGGUCAGAUCGUCUCGGAGUGACUGCGUCCCAAAUGACACCCUGUUCCCCACAUAGGGCUCUGGUCAACAGUAGUGCACUAAGGAGCCCAGUCUAAACUAUGUAGUAAAUAGUGUUCCAUUUGGGAGUCAGUAUCUCUACUGGGUUCUUUCAAAUUGAACUCUAAAGGGUUCUCGUCAACGAAACCAUUGGACUUCCUGUUUGCUGUACAUUUCUCAAGUACCUCCCAAAAUAUAUCCACUACAGCUAAACCCAUGUAGGGGAAAAUGACAUUCAGAAAUCAAAUAAAAAGAUAGUGAAAGUUUAGUGUCUGUUGAUUUUGGUACUGUUAAAUAAUUGUUUUGUUUAAAAGAGAAAAGACUGUUGGACUGUCUCCAGGAGGACAGUCUGUAGACCUCUGUAGACCUCUGGACAGACAGGACUGUCUCCAGGAGGACAGUCUGUAGACGUCUGGACAGACAGGACUGUCUCCAGGAGGACAGUCUGUAGACCUCUGGACAGACAGGACUGUCUCCAGGAGGACAGUCUGUAGACGUCUGGACAGACAGGACUGUCUCCAGGAGGACAGUCUGUAGACCUCUGUAGAUGUCUGGACAGACAGGACUGUCUCCAGGAGGACAGUCUGCAUACCUCUGGACAGACAGGACAGUCUGUAGACCUCUGACCAGACAGGACUGUCUCCAGGAGGACAGUCUGUAGACCUCUGGACAGACAGGACUGUCUCUUCACGUCUAAUGUCUCCAUAGUGUAAGUGCUGUUUUAGCAGCUCGAUGGAGAACGAAUGAAUAGCUGAUAUCAUCUCACCUGAAAGGUAGGCCUUAAAGGAAACAAGUCAGAAAAACGUUUUGUAAUAUGAAAA